UGCUUGUAUCCUCAGGCAAAAACUUAAAAGCAUCUUGAGGGGUGCAAUCAUCUUCACUUCCAUGACUCGCUACAUAAUACCAACCCCACACAAUGUAGAACACACGACAGAAACACAAGAAGAAAUCGAAUAGGUUAGAUUGAAAGAAAAUAGUGAAGAGGACAAAAAUCUAAAACAGAAACUAUAAAAAAUCAUAAAACAUCUGCAUGCUUACGUUCAACGGCAGACAACAACUUCAAGGUGUCUUCAGGGGGCAUCUUCAUUUUCAUUUUCAUUGCUCAUUGCUAUGUUAGUGCACCCUCCAACAUGAUCUCUCACUUCAACUUCAUGAGGGGCAAUCUUAGUAACGGUUGUGGAUGCAAUGUUGAUGACACUCACUGGACUAGGUCCUGACUGAUUGUCCUGAACUCGCUGUGGUGUACCAACUUGAUCAGGAAUAAGCCUCGAAGGUGAAAUAUGAACUCCUUCAGCAGAGGGCAUUGCAACAUCUUGAUCAACAUUAGACAUCCUAGGUGAACCUUGAAUUCCUUGCGGAAAGGCCGCUCGAGCAUCUUUUCCAACAUUUACCUGAGCAACUAGACCUUGCAGAUUCUGAAGCCUGAAUUGAACAUUCACCACUCUCUGCAAAACAGGACGACACAACUGAUCUAAGUUCUACUAGCAACCCAGACACAUGUUUCUCAUGAGCUAUCUUCCAUAACUUCUCAUGCUUCGAGACAACCUCAGACAUUAACUCCAACACCUACAGUGACAGAGACCAAAAAACACAUUUUAAUACUAAAAAAGUACAAGCAUACCACAAAAAG
Molecule: long non-coding RNA, 806 nt
Filed under: Triticum aestivum (bread wheat)
Lineage: Eukaryota; Viridiplantae; Streptophyta; Magnoliopsida; Poales; Poaceae
Description: long non-coding RNA (TAES_LNC008866)
Source: RNAcentral